Molecule: ribosomal RNA, 460 nt
Filed under: uncultured bacterium
Lineage: Bacteria
Description: partial 16S ribosomal RNA
Rfam family: Bacterial small subunit ribosomal RNA
Source: RNAcentral
CCUACGGGUGGCAGCAGUGAGGAAUAUUGGUCAAUGGGCGCUAGCCUGAACCAGCCAAGCAGCGUGAAGGAGGACUGCCCAAAGGAUUGUAAACCUCUUUUAUAUGGGAAUAAAGUGCAGUAUGUAUACUGCUUUGCAUGUACCUUAUGAAUAAGGAUCGGCUAACUCCGUGCCAGCAGCCGCGGUAAUACGGAGGAUCCGAGCGUUAUCCGGAUUUAUUGGGUUUAAAGGGUGCGUAGGCGGGUUGUUAAGUCAGUUGUGAAAGGUUGGGGCUCAACCGUAAAAUUGCAGUUGAUACUGGCAUCCUUGAGUACAGUAGAGGUAUGCGGAAUUCGUGGUGUAGCGGUGAAAUGCUUAGAUAUCACGAAGAACUCCGAUUGCGAAGGCAGCAUGCUGGCCUGUAACUGACGCUGAGGCACGAAAGUGUGGGUAUCGAACAGGAUUAGAUACCCGAGUAGUC